Molecule: ribosomal RNA, 442 nt
Filed under: uncultured bacterium
Lineage: Bacteria
Description: partial 16S ribosomal RNA
Rfam family: Bacterial small subunit ribosomal RNA
Source: RNAcentral
CCUACGGGGGGCAGCAGUGGGGAAUAUUGCGCAAUGGGCGCAAGCCUGACGCAGCAACGCCGCGUGAAGGAAGAAGGCUUUCGGGUUGUAAACUUCUUUCAAGAGGGAAGAGCAGAAGACGGUAUCUCUUGAAUAAGCCACGGCUAACUACGUGCCAGAAGCCGCGGUAAUACGUAGGUGGCAAGCGUGGUCCGGAUUUACUGGGUGUAAAGGGCGUGCAGCCGGGAAGACAAGUCAGAUGUGAAAUCCCGCGGCUCAACGGCGGAACUGCAUUUGAAACUGUUUAACUGGAGUACCGGAGAGGUCAGCGGAAUUCCUGGUGUAGCGGUGAAAUGCGUAGAUAUAAGGAGGAACACCAGUGGCGAAGGCGAAUGCCUGGAAGGUAACUGACGUUGAGGCGCGAAAGCGUGGGGAGCAAACAGGAUUAGAUACCCUUGUAGUC